CACGAGCCGCGUCUGCCGGCGGAUAUGAAACAGCAGACCCUGAGGAUUUACUGAUGGAAUAAUCAUAAUGAUCGGUGGAUGAAGUUACUGUGAGGCUUCAUAGAAUGGAGUCUGGUGGAGAGACCUACCAGGACCGUCUGAGCGUCCGAGAGGUCAAAGGUCGGUUUGAGAGGAGCCAGGAAACACGCAGGAACGAUGUGUUUGUAGAUGAAGUCGGGGAAACCCACCAUGCCAUCUUUCCCUCCUGCAGCUCCACCAGCUUGGAGAGGAUGAUGAAGCAGGUUUUCUGAGCGACGGGGUCGGGGAAGUCCACGGCUCCCUGGAUGAUGGUGAACACAACUCGCUCGAUGUUCUCCGCUCCUGAAAACAAGAACAAAUAACUGCAGCUGUGCUCCAGCAGGAAGGUUUGCCUACAACUCUUCAUCAUUUCAGAAACGAGAAGUUCUGCUAUCCGUUAGCGACUCACCCUGGUUGGCCAUGACCUCGUUCAUCCCGCUGCCUGUGAUGGUCUGGAUGAAGGUGAAGUAGCUCCUCCUCAGCAUCUGUUUCUCCAGAGCGGCCGCCUGGUCGUUCUCCUCCGCCGGCCUGGCCAGCACCUCGAAGAUGGCGAGCACCAGCGGCAUGAAGACCUGCUGCAGGAAGGGAGACACCUGCCGCUGCCGUGGCAGAAAAAAGCUCGUUAAUCACCCCGAAGAAGAGCUGCCUCUCAGUUUCUAAACGUGUGAUUUUAGCGGACAUGUCCCAAACACCUAACCAGUCUGCAGUUUUUCCCCGCGUACCUUGAACUUGGCGGUGAUCUGGCUGAUGAGCGGGAUGAACUCCUGCAGAUCUUUGGCCUCGCAGUCCUUCAGCAUGUGUUCAGAGGCGGCGGGGAUGAAGGGCAGCACCUCCUCCUCCAAGCAGAUGAUCAUUCGGUGCAGGAAGGAGCGGACCGAGCUGCGCAGCACCCCCCGCUGGACGGGGCAGCUCAGCGCAGGCAGGAAGGUCUGCAGGCAGUCUCGGUAGACCUCCGUACAGCCGCACUGCUUCACCGUCUGCUUGUUGCUGAACGCCUUGCUGGUCCGACUGCAAACAGAGAAAGACGACGUGACGUUCAGCUAAUUUCUUUUGUUUUGCCUGAUUCAUGUAAAGACUCCCGCUGGCGAGCUUGAAAUGUUGAAACAAAGAAAAUAAAAAGCCACAAUCUAAAAAAAAAAAAAA
This is a long non-coding RNA of Micropterus dolomieu (smallmouth bass), 1200 nucleotides long. RefSeq lists it as uncharacterized. The record is from RefSeq and is a predicted model, not a curated record. NCBI's taxonomy places the organism in Eukaryota, Metazoa, Chordata, Actinopteri, Centrarchiformes, Centrarchidae. The transcript has 4 exons.